This is a long non-coding RNA of Ictalurus punctatus (channel catfish), 6858 nucleotides long. Lineage: Eukaryota; Metazoa; Chordata; Actinopteri; Siluriformes; Ictaluridae. The record is from Ensembl.
CUUGCACGGAACAAUAAUUUCACGGGGGAAAAAACGCCAUUAGCACAUUGCAGCUGGCGCAUACAGUGAUCUUGAAAAAGACAAAUUAUGGAUAGUGAGCAGCACUUAAUGAAUUUAUUAACUUCCACUAAAACACUGAAAUGCAUCGCGACAAAAACGAUUUUUUUUUUUUUACAAGAACAAUUCUUCAUAUGAGGCAAAAAAAAGAAAAGAAAAAACACUCUAAAUGACGUACAAAAUCAAUCUUUUCUGCUCUCGUUUUUAACUGAGUAUAAAAUACACCUUUAACAAUAAAACAUUGAAAUUCUAGUCUAUCACAGAUCAGAACUAACAACAUGUUUGUGUACAGGCUAAGUGUUAAAUGAAGUCUAUGGCAGGAAGAUUAUUUCACUAUCAUCAGGCAAAAAACAAACAAAAGAAAACAAGAAGAACAAAGUGAACGCUUAUAGUCUAAUGAAUAUUCAUGAAACACCCAGUACAGGCUAAGCCGUUAGAGAGCUAAUGGGUGUACACUGCACUGUAAAUCAGUUGUGUAUAGGCUCUGUAACACACACAUCUAGUGGAAGUUAUCGUUUCAUUUUGAUGCAUCUGAUAAAACUUGUGAAUUUAAUUUCUGAUAAUGACAAUCUAUAUGAUGUGCAGCGAACUUGAUUUUUUAUUUGAUAUUAUUUAAAUAAAGCACUAGGAUAAUAAUAAUAUCAGCACAAGAAGGAACGUGUUUCAGAUGUUUGAUGCAAUUCAGUACUGUUACAUUUCAAUCACAGGGUUUUCAGUCGUCAUUUCUUAUUAGUCUGGUAUUAUCAGUUAAUCAGUUAUAAUCAGUUAAUCAGUUAAUCAGUGUGCUGCUUCUGGAUGAGUUGAGGAGGAAUAUUGAUGGAGAUCAUUACAAGCGCUUUAGAAAAGAUGUCGUUCUGAUUUCCUGCAUUAUAACCCGCUAGGGAAAAAACCUAAGUGCUCGGAGGAACGAAUUAGUAAAUGGGCACGUGACCUAAAUGCGCGAGCACGUGUAGGUAUUUUCGCGUACAAUGCAAGGAGCCUAAUUACACCCAGUCCAUAAUCUAAACUCUUGCUGUUUUUUUUUUUUUAAUUAUUAUUGUUAUUAUUAUUUCUCAGUGACGUUUUGUAAUUGUAAAUAUUUACCACGUUGUAUUAUGAUAUUUGCUCUGCUCUGUAGACUGCACAUCCCGGUUUAAACAGUUAUUUUACACGUGCUCUUUCAUCUUGUAAAAUUUCAUCUUGUGUAAAACACUGAAUGGAAUAUAGGUUUGCAGAAAUAUCUAUUAUUUAAAACUUAGCUCACCCUUACUUAUAGAAAACGAAUAAUAAUUAUAAAAAGAAGGCGAUUUGAUUUUUUUUCACACUUCCCAUGUCCCAAUGUGACGUGAUGGUUAAGUAACGAGAAUUGUUGCCUACAUGUUUUCUCAUUCCUUGUGUGAGAUUUAAAAAAAAAAAAAAAAAAAAAACACACACACACACACACACAAAAAAAACGGGAUCAAUUUUCACACUUAAUAAAUAUUAGUAAAUGUUCCUGUUAACAAAAAAAGCCGAGGUGCAUGUUUGUAUGGGAAUAUUAGGUGUGUUCGGUAGGAGAAAACAAUUAACUCGUGUAAAAAGUGUGUACUAGGGCGGAAGUAAAAAAUUGUUAGCGCAUGUUUAAUCCCGCUAAUAGCCUACAAAAUAUUUGUACUUAACAGUACCACCACCACCACCACCAAAAACAACAACAUGAACAACAACAGGAACAACAACAACAACAACAACAACAAUAAUAAUAAUAAUAAUAAUAAUAAUAAUAAUAAUAAUAAUAAUAAUCUUGAGAUAUAUUACCCCAUUUCCCCACUAGACACUAAAUUUCUCUUUAAAAAUGGAUAAAACACGCCGCAUGUUUUUACAUGAACAAACCACUAGGUGUCGCCAAGCAUCGCGGAACUGCUUUCCACUGACCCAGAUUUAAUUUUCCUUAAUUUGAAAUAAAACUAUGACGUGUUCAAAUAAAAAAAAAAGACAGCUUUAGUUGCUGGCCAGUUCUGCCAUAACUGCACGAUAUAUUUACUUUUAAAUGACUGUUGCUCGUCAUACAUUUGACCUGAUGACCAGAGAGCCGCUGUGCACACCAACGCACAGAGAUCUCAUAAGCUGUAACAUACAAUUUUAAUAAAAUAUACUGCAUCUAAAAAGGUCACCUGCAAAGAAAUAAUAUUUUGCCAAAUAAAAAUGUUAUCAUAUAAUUAGACCGAAAAUAUAUGACACCAGUAACGUUUGUGAUAGGCAACAAUAAAAAACAAACAAACAAAAAAAAACGUAAACAUGAUAACAGCAUGAACACACGCACACACACACACACACACACACACACACACACACACACACAAAAGGCUUAUCUGUAUCUGCAUGCAUAUAUUUAGCGCGUGCAUUUUGCAACCUGAAUAAAGUGUUAAAAUAAUAUAGACUUGUAUUUCUACUGUUCACAUAUCGAUUUCCAAUCCGGGUAUCUGUCCUACGUGAUCUCUAAACGAAAUUACAGUGCACUAUUUUUGCCACGACUCAAGAAAAGACCAAAAUAAACCAGAAUUACAUGUUAUAUUGCUCUCUGAAAACGACUAAAACGGUUAAAAAGUUGUUUUUUUUAUUCUGUUUUUCAGAACUACAAAGGAUACCUGUAUGAUAUUUCAUUCAGAUUCAUAUAAAUUAUUCCGACUAAGAAGAAAAUAUAGUCGAGAAAAGAUACCCUAGAAUUAAAUAAUAAUUAAUUUAAAAAAAUAGUCAUCAUAAAAACUUCCCGAUUGAAAUACGACCUUGCGCGACAAGAUGGCUUCAUUAUUUAACAGUAGCUGUGUGAUUUCAUGACUGUGAUUUCCUGUAGGCUACUAGAAAAUAGUGAAAGCAGCGAAGGAAAUGGUGAAUAAGACUUUUAACGGUAGGAGAAGCAUGAGCAUUAAGAAUUCCCAAGCAAACAUAUCAACAUAGUCUACUAAUUUAAAAAAAAAUAACAUGAAAUGUGGCUGAAUAGCCAUGAUCUGAGUGACUGAUGCUCGCAGUGGUCGAAUUGGUUAAGUUUUUCAUAAUAGUUCAGUCACUUUUAAAUUCUUUUAUGGCUGAAAGACAAGUCAGUGUGUGUGUGUGUGUGUGUGUGUGUGUGUGUAGGCCUAUAUGCGGGUGUCUAAGUACGUAAACUACAUGGAGUUAUGAAACUGAAGGAUUUGGUUAGAAUUAAAUGUGUAUGCAUGUAUGUAUGUCUAUGUAGCAUAUUGUGGGGGAAAACCGCUGAAAAGAUAUCCCUCAUCCUCGUUUUGUUUUAGCUCAUUUCCCCCCGCUUUUUUAGGUGGGACAAGCGCCUUCCUAUUCUAAUUGCAUUGUAAAUAUGCAUCACCAUGAUAAUGGGGUCGCGCGCAGGCGUAGCCCCGCCGCUCACGUGCGCUUCACAACUUCGGGCCCUCUCACUGCGUGUAGAUGGAGGACGGGGUCAGAGGAUAAACUAGCUUACAAGUAAAGUUCAAUUUCUCUCGGUAACAAACAAGGAGACGCAACUGGGCUUGUCCCGAAAAUAUGCAUGAGCCUAGCAACACGCGUGCAUAUAGGACAGCACGUGUCUCGAGCCGCCUGGGAUGAAAAUCUUUACGUGUGCCCGUCUGGCCACUUCUAUUGGGUGCCACCUCAGCUGAGCAGCUCGGAGCAAAGGUGCAUAAACUGAAGAGCGCUUAGACACGCACAAAAAAAAAGUUCCGGAGAUGCGUGUUGCCUCGAGUGUCAGCGUGCAAAAGGGUAGAUUAUUAAUGGGCGGCGGACACUAAGCGUUGGUUUUAAGGGUAAGUGUGACGCAAAAUGAUGUGUCUGUUCAUAUGAAGUUAAAUGCCUUAGUUAAGGGUUGAGCCUGCAACCGAUGACUGAUUACUGAUUUCUUGCUAUCAGAGGAUAGGAAACAGAAUCAUUAUCCAUCCUGUGCGGUGGAGCUAUGAAUACUUGAGUCGUCAAUACAUGCGCUGUAGUCAGUGCAUUUGCAUAUGACGUGUAAUUAUGCAGUUAUAGCAGUCUAAUACAGCCGGGAUGUGCAGACAGUAUGUUUCACACAGACUCCUUAUACGAUUGCUUUUUUUAAAAUAGAUAAAUAAUAAUAAUAAUAAUAAUAAUAAUAAUAAUAAUAAUAAUAAUAAUAAUGAUAAUAAUAAUAAUACAUUUCUAGCAGUUACUUCAAUGAAUCUUGCGUAGGCUAUAUAGGCCUCAUAUAUAGAGUAUAACUCAUAUGGUGUUACGUGAUCAUGCAAAAUGAUGCAAAUUGUUACUAAACGCGUGUUGUUCUUUUGUUCGGCCGUCUUUGUUAGUACACGUAUUUGUGCAUGUAGUGCAUGGGUUUGAAUAGUGUAACUCUAAUGAAUUUUUAUAAUAGAUGUUGGCGAAUCCGAGACUUUAUGAAAUCGCAUUUCUAAUGCAUAGAAUAUAAAGCAAAACAAAGAAGAAGAAGAAAAAAAGAGCAUUCUGAACCUACCGCUCGCCUAACAUGCUGCUGUUUUAAACAAAAAGGGAAAUGAAGAAAACAACACAGCCACAGCCACUGUGAAUGCAAAAGAGAUGCAAAUAUACCUUUUACAUAUGCAUCAAUAUUUAAAAUAACACACAUGUUGGAAGCGUCUGCAGCGAUGAACCGAGCGGUGUCUCAGUGCGCGCGGGCGCCAGUCUUCGCUCCUUCAGCGCGCGCUCCGGAUCCUCACCAUGCAGAUGCUCGCCAUAUUCAAAACAAUAAACAAACACACAUACAUACACACACACACGCACACACCAAAAAACACACACAAUACGCGCCUAUUCUCUUCAAAUGGAAAACGAGCCUCUUCGGAUCCGACGAGGGUAAAAUUUACUCCGAGCGCUGAUAGAAAGGCGACGUAAGGGGAUUUGCAUAUUUGAUGCGCUAAUUUCCUUGAUGUAUUUAAAUAUGGCUGCGCGUAGCAGAGCGGCUUGUCUACGUCACUGGACGUGACCUCGUUGUUAAAUCUAAACGCGAAUCCGCUUGCAAUCAUGGAGAAUUAGAAAGAGGGACAGAAUUACGCGUUGUAACGUCAUUACUAAUUUUCUAAUACAAAAAUAGCUUAUUUAAAAAAAAAAUUAAAUAAAAAACAGUUGAACUUGAACUUGACAUUCAAUACGCUUGCGUAUGUGAUGAGAAAAAAUACAGGUAACAUAAUAAUAAUAAUAAUAAUAAUAAUAAUAAUAAUAAUAAUAAUAAUGUGGGAUGGUCUAAUAAUAGGCUUAUUAAAAGGUUAUGCAUUACACAGUCCGCACUUUUAUUGAAGGAAUGUUCACUUAUUAGUGCCAAGGCCUCUCGCGUGCUUUCUUUUUUAAUGAAUAAAUGAAUGAACAUAGUAUGUGCUUGGUGUCUUAUGACUAAACUUAGACUUCUUGCUCUUUUUUUUUUUUUUUUUUAAAGCGAUGCUUUCUCUUGACAGUAUGUGUUUUUUUUCUCCCUGCUCUAAUAAUGUCCUCGCUGUGUAUAAAGACGGCGAGCGCGUUCCGUCAGUCCGCUCGUGUGGGGCAGAAAAAAAAAGCUCGAGGCAAAUUCAUUAGCGCAGUCAGUGCGUAACCUGCUCUGGGAAACUGGGGGGCUACAGUCCACGCCAAUAAGGGGAACAAUGGCUCCUCAGUUCAAAUCCAACAAAAGACCUGGCCAACUUGUUUGAAUUUCCGAGCACGUCCUUUCUUUCUAUCACAGAGAAGGAGAGGUGCCCCCCUCUUCUGCUGACCCCCUCCCAACACCCCCCAUCUACCCCCACCCUAACACUAAAAAAAAUAAAAUAUAUAUUUUUUAAAUCAUUCCAUGCCAACCCUUCUCCGCUCAACACUGCACUUUUUCCCAUUUGGUGCCGUAGACAAAUAGGUUAUGGGAAACUUCUCGACCCCUCCUCUCUGACCCCCCCCCCCCCCCGUACACCCCCCCAUCUCGCGCUGUCUCUCAGUCUCUCACACACUCUCGCGCUGUCUCUAGCGCGCGUGGACUUACCGGAGCAGGGAAGCACGCGUAAUGAGCUAAGUGUUAGCGGCAAUUUUGAACCACACGCGCACAGGAUGGACUCGUUAGUGAGACGGCGUUUUGCGCACCGGCAACGGAUACUGAAUGUUUGGAAAGACGCUUGGACAGAAAGAGCCGGGAAAUAUGACCAUAACUGUCCGGCGGAAGCGAGUGAGGCGAAAUGGAGCUGUCUAAAAUAAAAUCCAGCAAUAAAAUCCAGCAUAAGUGUGGGCGUUGUCUCUGACUGAGAAUAAUGCUACGAAAAGAAAAAAGUUGGUCGAUUAUAAAAGGCUUGCAGCAACUAUUGGCCAAAUUCCUGCCUCUCAACCAAGCCUACUCUCAGCAAACGUGCGAAGGUGAAGAGAGAUGGGAGAUGAGGUCAAAUAAAAGAUGGAUUGCUCACUGUGCUGAGAGUAAAGGUUAAGAGCAUCAAUGGAUGAUGACUUCAACCCAUUUAUAGAUAUGCCCUGGAUCUGAGGGAUGGAUGAAUUGUCUUCUUUGAGAGUUUCCCAGAUUAUGUGUAUUGGUUUGUGGAGUGCAGACCAUAUACUAUAGCAGCUGGAAUUUUAAUAAAUUCACAGUAGCAUCUGGAUUGACACAAGAUACAUGCCUUGAAUGUUGUAUACAAGUGAAGUCACUAUGCAAAGUGUGAUUGUACAGCCUUCUCCUUGCACAAAUAUUUUGGAUCAAAAUUUACUUGAAUAUGUUUGCACUAUGAAGUUUAUUUAUACAAUAAAUUGUUUAUUUUUCUAGAAGGACAUUGCAGUGUGUGAUUUGUUUUUCUGAAUUGUAGAUGAUGGAAUUUCUAAUACGGUGGAUAUUAAAAUGAUCAGUCUUAGGUCGACUGAAAUGGUAAA